RNAcentral lists this ribosomal RNA (256 nucleotides) under uncultured bacterium. RNAcentral describes it as "partial 16S ribosomal RNA". It matches the Rfam family "Bacterial small subunit ribosomal RNA", at positions 524 to 776 of the family's 1533-position model. The record is from RNAcentral.
UACGUAGGGGGCAAGCGUUGUCCGGAAUUACUGGGCGUAAAGCGCCUGUAGGCGGGAACGUGCGUCGGACGUGAAAGGCGGGGGCUUAACCCCCGAGCGGCGUUCGAAACGGCGUUUCUUGAGGGUCGAAGAGGAGCGUGGAAUUCCUGGUGUAGCGGUGAAAUGCGUAGAUAUCUGGGGGGAAGGCCGGCGGCGAAGGCGCUUUUCUGGUUAGUACCUGACACUGAGGCACGAAAAGCGUGGGGGAGCAAACAGG